Molecule: long non-coding RNA, 1179 nt
Organism: Gadus morhua (Atlantic cod)
Lineage: Eukaryota; Metazoa; Chordata; Actinopteri; Gadiformes; Gadidae
Exons: 5
Source: RefSeq, a predicted model, not a curated record
GGAGAGACUCCAACCAGAGGGACUCCAACAGGAGAGACUCCAACCAGAGGGUCUCCAACCAGAGGGUCUCCACCAGGAGGGUCUCCUCCAGGAGGGCGAGAUGGUGAGGACACCGGGGGUCUUGGAGGCUGAGGAGGAGGCGUUAGAAGAGUUUGCGUCCACCUCAGGGCUGUCAGCCCUGAACCAAGGCCACACCUCCCCUACACACCUGGAAACCAACACCGAGCCUGGGGAGAAGGCCUUAGGGACUGACAGCCAGGCUACCUCCGAGACCAGACAGGACAUCCAAGAAGAGCCUGAAACAAAUGGUCAUUGUCCUCUACCUAAGCUGCCCUUUGUUGGGCAGACACCUGUACAAAGACAGCGGUGACCUGGAGAUGCCAGCUGACCACGGCAACCAGCACGUUGUCGUCCGUCAACAUCCCAUUGACGCCGUGAUGUCGAUCCUCAACCAGGAUCAACCGGCAGCCACCGCCCUGCCAGGUGUAGUAGAGAUCGAGGAGAAACCUUUUGUCUUUAUGGGCUGUACAGAACCUGUGGAUCCCCCGAACAACUCGGAAAUCUCGGACAUGCAUGACGAAGAAGGGGAGGAACCCAUACAGUAGCCCAAAGGAAAGAGCCUCGGGUGGAGAUUCCUCAAUUGGCUCAGUGUGGUGAAGGAGAAGGAGCCAAACAAUAAGAGGAACGCCGGGACCUACCUGAAGGAGGACACGGAGGAACACCUCAUCUCCAGCAAAGCUAAUAAACGUCAGGCAGCUUUGCUCAGUACAAAGCUCUCGAUGGCUGAAGGAGUUCAGAUGAGGAUGAAGAUCCACCGGGCUGAGCGCCGGGAGCAGAAGGAGGCUCAGAGGAUGAAGGAGGAGCAGCGCUACGAGCAGUGGGCUGCUGAAGUGGGCCUCAGCGAUGCAGGAGAGGGGCCAGCAGACGGGCCUAAGAAAAGGAUGACCAGAUUGCAGAAGUUGUCUUUAGGAUUGGUCUCCCUGUGCCAAUAAGCCGAUCCCCUCCAUCCGGCCACCCCCGGUGCGGGUCACCUGUACAUAUAUACAUAGAAGCAUAAUAAAAUUCAAAGAAAUACAAAAGAAUACAAGACAAUACAAGACCGGACAGCUGGAAGAACCAACAUUAUCUUUUCUUAUGUCAUACUGUGUAUUAUACUUUUGUAUUCAACUGUAAUAAUUG